This is a long non-coding RNA of Neopelma chrysocephalum (saffron-crested tyrant-manakin), 443 nucleotides long. RefSeq lists it as uncharacterized. The record is from RefSeq and is a predicted model, not a curated record. The transcript has 3 exons. Lineage: Eukaryota; Metazoa; Chordata; Aves; Passeriformes; Pipridae.
UUGAAAGGAAUCUUUCAGUGAUGUUUUCCAAUUAAAAAAAAAAAAACAAAACCAACCCUGAAACAAUUCUUAUCCUGCAGGGCUUAUUGUAUUACAUAGUCAUACAAUUUCUGAAAGGUUAUACAUGGGACUCACAUUUGGACCAUCAUCAGACAAUAGUUCAGACUCAACAUCAAGCAGAAGGGCUACUGUUCAAAGAGAUUAUAUAAAUUGUCUCUUUCAUUGCUAAUAGGGCAUUCGUGGCUCCAUGUCAGCAGGGGAUGGAGUGUCUUGCUUGUCCAGAUACACGAUCUGCUGCUACAGGCCUGGAAAAAUCUGCUUGUGCUUCCAACCAGAAGUCUCCAGAGGAUUAAGGAGCCUCCAACAAAACUGUUCUGAAAUAGUGCUGAAAUAAAAAAUGUUCACAUGUCCAAAACACUGAUUAAACCUAAAUUAAACCUGAA